AUGCAGCGCAGUAAAGCCGCUGUGAGCGUGGAAGUGAAGCAAGUCAUUGGAGCUUUGUGCAGACUACUAGCGGCUACUGGCCUGGAAGCUGUCCCCACACCGGAGAUAUUCAGGCUGGCCAAAUUCGGUGGUGGAGCCGAGGUGGAGGAUCAGUUUUGGCAGCUCAUCGCCAACGUCCUUCAGAAAGCUAACAUAGUUUCCUGUGAAGCUAGGGCAAAGCUAGGAGGAGCCUCACAGCACAGGAAGCUGACAGUUGCAGGCCUCUGGCAGACUAGCUACCAUGCUGACUGGAUGUAUGGGAGGGAGGGAGGAGAAGGAGGGAGAUUGUCUAGCAGAGACCUCCUCAUGGCGCUUGCCUGGCUGCUCGCUACAGGAACACUGGAGAGACUGCUGACACAGAGAAUACAGCAAUUGGACAAAACACUCCUCACACGUAUGUCUAUGAACACUCAACUUUCCAAUGAGCUCCAGUUAGACCCAGCAUCGCUGAAGACACUUCAGUGGCUCAUUGGCAGUCUCAGGCACCAGGGGCGGACGCUGCUUUCCAUUCAAGAAGAGCGAACUGGCCUGCUCCAUUCUGUUUUAUUGAACAUUGUCUCCUCCCUGGAGUCCUCUGAUCAAAGCUCAACAGUGCUGAGGGAGGACUGUGUAUGUAUGUGUCAGCUCUGUGACCUCCUAGAAGCAUAUGUGAACUGGAGACAGGUAGAGAAAGUCUUCUGGACCUGGAUGGACAGUGUGGUGGACUGCUGUCUGACGGAUACUGUUGUCAAGAGGUCUACAAAAUCUCCUAAUGGCAGCUCAGGAGUGUGUCACCAUGGAAUCUGGGGGCUAGAGAAAUUAGACGAUAUGCUGUUGAGACUGCCCACGGGACAGAUGUUCUACACACGCAAGGUGUUCUUUUUUCACAGGGUUCAUUGCCUAGUGGUUUUGAGAAAUGCUGUUUAAAUUGAUGGUGAAUUAAAAAGCACCAACAAUACUGUACUGAAUAAAACUGAGGUAAAUCAAACAUUUAAAAAAAGUUAUUUUGUGUAUGUGUUUAGAUCAACUCAGCAGAAAGACUGGAAGCAGGUGGCUUUGUCAAGAGUUCUAAAAUCAUCUAGCAGUAAAUCUAAAUCUCACUAAUAAACAUGUUUGAUCAUGUCCCCAAUAGAUUAUUGCAGGGCUACAGCAAAUUCUUGAAAAAUAAUGGGUUAUCCAUUCUCAAAAACACAGCCAAAACACUCAUCAAUCAGAGAGAAGCUAGCAAAAACAGACUUUCCCUAUAGAAAAAAAACUAACUUCCAGAGGACUUUGCAUUGUAAAUGUUUUUAGUUGAGCAUUUACAAAAUAAACAAACAUUUUUCAUUCCUUUGAUACUAUCUCAGCCUGCUGGCUUACAUCAAUUUGUCACUGUGCUCACUUCUUUAAAUCCAAGGUUAAUAAGGUUUUUUCCAAAAAUCUUGAUCAUGCAAUUGUAGGUAAUUAUGGUCAAUCAUAUUACUAUAAUAGUGUCUUCCAGAUCUCCACUUUCUGGAUCCCAAGGCCAUAGAGGUAGAUGUUGGUAUUGAGCCAUGCUAAGAGCUUCUCCUCUGCCCCCAGUGUAUGUGCUAUAAUAGGCUAAGCAAAUCCUAGCUCUGCAUUUAACACAUGAGAUGAGACUGGUAUCAAUUCUGUCAUUUCACUCUUGCAAAGUAAGCAUCUAAACUUUCUUGUCAAAAUAAUAAAGUGUUCCUGGACCAACACUUGCACGCUAGUGUCAAUCUUGAAACGCUUGUAUGCCCAGAUUUGAUUUUCAACUCUGCAUAUGAACAGAAUAUGAAUGUCUCUCUUAUUCAUGAAUGAUUCCGUUAUUUUAUCAGCGUGUUCCGUACAGUGUCGGAACAAUACCCUACUUAAGAUUAAAGCAAUAAUGCAUUUAUUACAUUAUAUUUCCUUGAUGUUAGGUGACACUGGGUGUGCAGUUAGCUACCAUUUACGUAUGGUGCAGUCGAGUAAUAUCAUGUUAUUGCAAUCAUACCUGAAUUUUACCAUUGAAAAAAAACUUGGCAAAAAAUUGUAUGCAAAUAAGGAACUGCUUGAAUAAAUAAUGACUAAACGUGAUUACAAAUCUGAACAACAAAAAGUAUUAAAGUUUGAUGCCAAAUAAGAAAAUUGCAGUAUGAAGACAGAACCCACUUUGUAAUACACUGACUGUAGUGUUCCACAGUCUCUAAUUCAUAAUGUUUAUAUUCCUUUGUUUGAUUUUCUUGUCUGAAUCCCUUUCAUCUUCUGUCACAGAAAGGACAGAGCAGAGGCAGAGGGGAUGCUGAGAACAGAGGAGAAGGAGGAGAGAGGUUGCAGGGGGGUCCGUGCACCUCCGCCCUCCCUCCUGUUCUCUCUUCCCUUCCAUCCCUGCCCUCCAUCCCUCAGGUCUACAGAGCCAGGCUCCUAACUGAGAGGUCAGUCAAACUCAGGCACCACCCAGCAGAGAGGCUCCACGCCGGGGCUAGGGCUCCUGAUAAGCUUUCAUCGUCUGAUGCCACACAGCUGCUCCUUCAAAUAGAGGCUCUGUUGCUGAACAGGAGGGACAGGCAGAGACUCGCCAAUAGGAUGCAGCUGCAAGAGAUGGUUGGCAGGCUGGAUGAACUGGUGUUGAUUCCACCGUAGACUUUUUUUAAUUGUGGCAUCAGUAUGUAAGAAGACCACUGUGAGUGUGAUGGAAGUGUUCUGCUCUUCCAGAAUGUAACGUAUUAGUUCCGAAAUUUGCCAAGAAUGUAUUUGACCUUUGGAUGGAAACCAGAUUUUUUUUUUUGCAGUUUUACUUUAAAAAAGAAAUACGCUUUCAACAGGUUUAGUUUGAUGAUGGUAAAUAUUUCUAUUAACCUUUAUAGGUCAUUAACUAACAAAGACGACAAAGUCAGUUGAGCGCUUCAGAAACAGAAGAGACAAAAGACACCCGACAAAUCAGAAAAAAACUAUUUAAAACAAAUAACUAAUUCAUAAUAUAUGUAAACUGUCCUCACUGUUAACAGAAACAUUAAAACAAGGCUAGGUCAAAACCUAUUAUAUGGCUGGACCGUUACUGGUCAAGAGGCAAAAAUGUGGCCAAUUUAAGGUAGUCAGUGGUAGAGUUUGCUAUUAAUUUGGGGAUAUUAAAUCCUCAUAUGCAAAAAAAUACAGAAUAGUUAGUUAGUGUAGGGAAAUUUAGGAAUAAGUUAAGUUGUUAUUGCAUUCACAAGUUACAUUCAUAGAUGUCUUUUUUUUUUAUCUUUAUAUUUUACUUAUUAUUAACAUAGCUGUAGCCUCAAAACAAGCAUGCUGAGCCCUACUGAUUGUUUUCCUUAAUGUAAUUUAAAAAAUUCAAGUUUAACCUUUUCCAAUUUUGAGUUACACCUUUCAUGCUUCCCUUGUCUUAUUUCCAUUACCAUUCACAAUUUCAUCUCUACAAAUGCUUUUCAAAUUCCAUUUUAGCUUUUGCAUUUUAAAUUAUUGUGUUGUGCGACCCAUAGAUCUUGUGCAUUAACUUUAGGUUUAGGACCCAACUAACGUGGAUGGGAAUAAAGUUGUGUGGCUCUAGACUUUCCAAAUUAUAUUGGAUCGCAUUGCUCAAAUUCUGACAGUGAAAUUUGUAAUUUCUCAGGGGUUUUGAUGCUCAAAAAUUAGUAUCAACUGUUUUAUAUCCUGCUCUUUCACAAUGCAAGCUUAUGGGAAAAAGGGGCCUUGGCCAACGUGACGAUGUAAUUACACAGUUUGGCACUAUGAAAAGCUGGCUUCAAUGCCUGGUGCUCUUCCUGGGGUCUUUGGUUGGCGCCCCUGUUGCAGUCCAGCCAAUUAUGGUGUGGACAUUUUGCAAUGAAUGUAACAGAAUAAAUUCUACAUCACAAACAUUACAGCUAAUAUGAACAAGGUAAGCAAAAGCUAUUGUAGAUUUCUGAAAUGAAUAAAUCAUAUUCUCAUGUCCUCAGAGCUUGUAUGAGUAUUUGAGAAAUGUAUUAUAUGAAACUACCUUAGAAAAAAAAAAGUUUAUGAAUAUAUUUAAAAAUAUUUUAAGAUGUACUCCAACAGUUUAGAAAAAAUGACAUGUGUUGUUAGAGGGACUUACACAUGCACCACAUCCACCAUGACUUACUAUAGCUUGGGUUUCUACAGGCUGACCUCACAUUGUCCCACUGACUUCAGAAGCUGUGCUGAGUCACUGCACCGGAAGAAGUUCCAGCUCCUUAAACCAACGGCUUUAGGAGUGUUG
Molecule: long non-coding RNA, 4204 nt
Filed under: Sparus aurata (gilthead seabream)
Lineage: Eukaryota; Metazoa; Chordata; Actinopteri; Spariformes; Sparidae
Description: lncRNA (ENSSAUG00010013187.1)
Source: RNAcentral